CGGUGCACGUUAUCAGUUCAGAGUGAGUGUCUGUUCACCCUUCAGGUAAUCGGCGGUCUUGAUGAUUGCUGUAAACAGUAGCCAGAGGGAAUUAUAUGUGAGGAAUAUUCUCUUGUGGCGUGGGUCUUCUCUCUCAUCCUCCGGACCGUUCUUUGCUCUCGUCUUCAACACGAUCUUCCUACUGUUUCUACAGUGAAUUGCGCUUAGUAUAACCUGAGUACAUUUGAGAACCACGUGUUUACGCUGCGAUCGCGCCGUGGGCCAGCAGCAGGAUUUGCAUCGUCUACUUCCUUUCGUUUUUAAUGUGAUAGAAAAGUUAUGAUCAAUAAUAAUUGACUGUUAUUUGUACGAGAACCAGUGUGUGUGCACACGCGAGCGUGUGUAUGUGUGUGUGCUGCACCAGCUCUAU
This is a long non-coding RNA of Rhinichthys klamathensis goyatoka, 409 nucleotides long. RefSeq lists it as uncharacterized. The record is from RefSeq and is a predicted model, not a curated record. Lineage: Eukaryota; Metazoa; Chordata; Actinopteri; Cypriniformes; Leuciscidae. The transcript has 3 exons.